CCACCCUUUGCGGCGUGCUACACAUGCAAGUCGAACGAGAAAGUGAUUCAGUGGCGAACGGGUGCUUAACGCGUGGGCAACCUGCCGAGAAGUGGGGGAUAGCUCGCCGAAAGGCGAAUUAAUACCGCAUGUGAUCAGCGGAGACAUCUUCGCGAAAUCAAAGCCGGGGCAACCUGGCGCUUCUAGAGGGGCCCGCGGCCUAUCAGCUUGUUGGUGAGGUAACGGCUCACCAAGGCUUUGACGGGUAGCUGGUCUGAGAGGACGACCAGCCACACUGGGACUGAGACACGGCCCAGACACCUACGGGUGGCAGCAGUCGAGAAUUUUUGACAAUGGGGGAAACCCUGAUCGAGCGACGCCGCGUGGAGGAUGAAGGUCUUCGGGUUGUAAACUCCUGUCAUUUGGGAACAAUGGUCACGCGUUAACUGCGCGCGACUUGAUAGUACCAGAAGAGGAAGAGACGGCUAACUCUGUGCCAGCAGCCGCGGUAAUACAGAGGUCUCAAGCGUUGUUCGGACUCAUUGGGCGUAAAGGGUGCGUAGGCGGCGCGGUAAGUCGGGUGUGAAAUCUCGGAGCUUAACUCCGAAACUGCAUUCGAUACUGCCGUGCUUGAGGACUGGAGAGGAGACUGGAAUUUACGGUGUAGCAGUGAAAUGCGUAGAUAUCGUAAAGGAAGACCAGUGGCGAAGGCGGGGUCUCUGGACAGUUCCUGACGCUGAGGCA
Molecule: ribosomal RNA, 723 nt
Filed under: uncultured bacterium
Lineage: Bacteria
Description: bacterial SSU rRNA
Rfam family: Bacterial small subunit ribosomal RNA
Source: RNAcentral